RNAcentral lists this ribosomal RNA (325 nucleotides) under uncultured eukaryote. Its description in RNAcentral is "partial 18S ribosomal RNA". It matches the Rfam family "Eukaryotic small subunit ribosomal RNA", at positions 1470 to 1796 of the family's 1831-position model. The record is from RNAcentral.
CCCUUAGAUGUCCUGGGCCGCACGCGCGCUACACUGAUGCAUUCAACGAGUUUUUCCUUGGCCGAGAGGCCUGGGCAAUCUUGUGAACGUGCAUCGUGAUAGGGAUAGAUUCUUGCAAUUAUUAAUCUUGAACGAGGAAUUCCUAGUAAACGCAGAUCAUCAAUCUGCAUUGAUUACGUCCCUGCCCUUUGUACACACCGCCCGUCGCACCUACCGAUUGAAUGGUCCGGUGAAGCCUCGAGAUUGUGGCUAGCUUGCUUCAUUGCGAGUUAGUUGCGAGAACUUGUCUAAACCUUAUCAUUUAGAGGAAGGUGAAGUCGUANCA